This 72-nucleotide transfer RNA is filed under the name Pangasianodon gigas (Mekong giant catfish). Its description in RNAcentral is "tRNA-Glu". The record is from RNAcentral. Lineage: Eukaryota; Metazoa; Chordata; Actinopteri; Siluriformes; Pangasiidae.
UCCAUGGAGGACUAGUGGUUAGGCCUCGGUGCUCUCACCACUGCGCCCCGGGUUCAAUUCCCAGCCAGGGAA